This 889-nucleotide ribosomal RNA is filed under the name uncultured archaeon. RNAcentral's name for it is "bacterial SSU rRNA". It matches the Rfam family "Archaeal small subunit ribosomal RNA", at positions 1 to 879 of the family's 1478-position model. The record is from RNAcentral.
UUCCGGUUGAUCCUGCCGGACCUGACUGCUAUCUGGGUGAGGAUAAGCCAUGCGAGUCGAAUGGGAUACUAAUCUUCCCAUGGCAAACUGCUCAGUAACACAUGAUCAACUUACCCUAUAGAGGGAAAUAACCUCGGGAAACUGAGGAUAAUGACUCAUAAUUGAAAAGGCUUGGAAAAGUUUUUCAAUAAAAGGAUUGAUAAUGGUUCCUAUGCACUACAGGAUAGGAGCGUGCUUGGUUAUGGUGUGGUGAGUAUGGCCCACCAAGACUAUUACAGGUACGGGCUCUGAGAGGAGUAGCCCGGAGAUGGGUACUGAGACACGGACCCAGGCCCUAUGGGGCGCAGCAGGCGAGAAAACUUUGCAAUGUGCGAAAGCACGACAAGGUUAAUCCGAGUGGUUUCUGCUAAAGGAACCUUUUGUCAGUCCUAGAAACACUGAUGAAUAAGGGGUGGGCAAGUUCUGGUGUCAGCCGCCGCGGUAAAACCAGCACCUCAAGUGGUCAGGAUGAUUAUUGGGCCUAAAGCAUCCGUAGCCUGCUUUGUAAGUUUUCGGUUAAAUCCAUACGCUCAACGUAUGGGCUGCCGGGAAUACUGCAAAGCUAGGGAGUGGGAGAGGUAGACGGUACUCGGUAGGAAGGGGUAAAAUCCUUUGAUCUAUUGAUGACCACCUGUGGCGAAGGCGGUCUACCAGAACACGUCCGACGGUGAGGGAUGAAAGCUGGGGGAGCAAACCGGAUUAGAUACCCGGGUAGUCCCAGCUGUAAACUAUGCAAACUCAGUGAUGCAUUGGCUUGAUGCCAAUGCAGUGCUGCAGGGAAGCCGUUAAGUUUGCCGCCUGGGAAGUACGUACGCAAGUAUGAAACUUAAAGGAAUUGGCGGGGGAGCAC